GGUUAUUCAUAACCCUUUGUUGUCCGACUCUGUUGCCUCCGGGGCGACCCUGCCUUCGGGCGGGGGCUCCGGGUGGACACUUCAAACUCUUGCGUAACUUUGCAGUCUGAGUAAACUUAAUUAAUAAAUUAAAACUUUUAACAACGGAUCUCUUGGUUCUGGCAUCGAUGAAGAACGCAGCGAAAUGCGAUAAGUAAUGUGAAUUGCAGAAUUCAGUGAAUCAUCGAAUCUUUGAACGCACAUUGCGCCCCCUGGUAUUCCGGGGGGCAUGCCUGUUCGAGCGUCAUUUCACCACUCAAGCCUCGCUUGGUAUUGGGCAACGCGGUCCGCCGCGUGCCUCAAAUCGUCCGGCUGGGUCUUCUGUCCCCUAAGCGUUGUGGAAACUAUUCGCUAAAGGGUGUUCGGGAGGCUACGCCGUAAAACAACCCCAUUUCUAAGGUUGACCUCGGAUCAGGUAGGGAUACCCGCUGAACUUAAGCAUAUCAAUA
This 488-nucleotide ribosomal RNA is filed under the name Cladosporium ossifragi. RNAcentral describes it as "eukaryotic LSU rRNA". The stretch from base 133 to 286 matches the Rfam family "5.8S ribosomal RNA". Lineage: Eukaryota; Fungi; Ascomycota; Dothideomycetes; Cladosporiales; Cladosporiaceae. The record is from RNAcentral.